AUUGAACGCUGGCGGCAUGCCUUACACAUGCAAGUCGAACGGCAGCACGGGGCAACCUGGUGGCGAGUGGCGAACGGGUGAGUAAUGCAUCGGAACGUGCCAUUGAGUGGGGGAUAACGUAGCGAAAGUUGCGCUAAUACCGCAUAUUCUGUGAGCAGGAAAGCAGGGGACCGCAAGGCCUUGCGCUCUUUGAGCGGCCGAUGUCAGAUUAGCUAGUUGGUGAGGUAACGGCUUACCAAGGCGACGAUCUGUAGCGGGUCUGAGAGGAUGAUCCGCCACACUGGAACUGAGACACGGUCCAGACUCCUACGGGAGGCAGCAGUGGGGAAUUUUGGACAAUGGGCGCAAGCCUGAUCCAGCCAUGCCGCGUGAGUGAAGAAGGCCUUCGGGUUGUAAG
RNAcentral lists this ribosomal RNA (397 nucleotides) under uncultured bacterium. RNAcentral describes it as "bacterial SSU rRNA". It matches the Rfam family "Bacterial small subunit ribosomal RNA", at positions 30 to 429 of the family's 1533-position model. The record is from RNAcentral.